Molecule: long non-coding RNA, 303 nt
Organism: Armigeres subalbatus
Lineage: Eukaryota; Metazoa; Arthropoda; Insecta; Diptera; Culicidae
Exons: 3
Source: RefSeq, a predicted model, not a curated record
AAGCAGUUGACUACCUAGUUCCAGAGGGGAUAAGAAUUAGCCUGACCGGCAGAGACACAUAUUGAAAUAAAGUGCUGUACAGAAGCUCAGUGCAUGGGCUUUGUGUUUUGCAAGAGCCAAUAUGACCUUCUAGGAGAUCUCUUUUACGGGAUGCUCAGCUAGUGUGAUGGAGUAAAUUAGCAAGAUUGCAGGAGAUCGGCCUAUCUAUUCUCUAUUCAUGUCCAAAACCCAAGGCUUGGUAAGCCUCAUACCGUGGAGCAUUGCCUGGGUGACCUGCGAGGUGAAUGGGAAUGUCUGCUGUGG